GGGGUUGUGGCUCAGUGGCAGAGCACUCGCUUAGCACGUGAGGCACUGAGUUUAAUCCUCAGCACCACA
Molecule: transfer RNA, 69 nt
Filed under: Marmota monax (woodchuck)
Lineage: Eukaryota; Metazoa; Chordata; Mammalia; Rodentia; Sciuridae
Description: tRNA.Ala
Rfam family: tRNA
About the family: Transfer RNA (tRNA) molecules are approximately 80 nucleotides in length. Their secondary structure includes four short double-helical elements and three loops (D, anti-codon, and T loops).
Source: RNAcentral